CUAAGAUGAGCUCAACGAGAA
This 21-nucleotide small nuclear RNA is filed under the name Arabidopsis thaliana (thale cress). RNAcentral's name for it is "snRNA_02591". The record is from RNAcentral. Lineage: Eukaryota; Viridiplantae; Streptophyta; Magnoliopsida; Brassicales; Brassicaceae.